CAGCCGCCGCGGUAAUACAGAGGGUGCAAGCGUUAAUCGGAAUUACUGGGCGUAAAGCGCGCGUAGGCGGCUUCUUAAGUCGGAUGUGAAAUCCCUGAGCUUAACUUAGGAAUUGCAUUCGAUACUGGGAAGCUAGAGUAUGGGAGAGGAUGGUAGAAUUCCAGGUGUAGCGGUGAAAUGCGUAGAGAUCUGGAGGAAUACCGAUGGCGAAGGCAGCCAUCUGGCCUAAUACUGACGCUGAGGUACGAAAGCAUGGGGAGCAAACAGGAUUAGAUACCCCUGUAGUCCCUGUCUCUUAUAC
Molecule: ribosomal RNA, 301 nt
Filed under: uncultured bacterium
Lineage: Bacteria
Description: partial 16S ribosomal RNA
Rfam family: Bacterial small subunit ribosomal RNA
Source: RNAcentral